Molecule: long non-coding RNA, 3880 nt
Organism: Parus major (Great Tit)
Lineage: Eukaryota; Metazoa; Chordata; Aves; Passeriformes; Paridae
Exons: 5
Source: RefSeq, a predicted model, not a curated record
UUUAACAGUAAUGUUUAGAAGCAGUUUGUGCUGCUGCAAACCCAUCCAUUCUUUGCGGCUACAGGUGGAGAGAGGGUCACGACCCCUCCUCAACUCCUCCACCCUCGAUUUCCCCCAGUGUCCUGCCUCCAUUCCGCAUCUCCCUGCCUGGAGACUCGCCUACCCGGUACCGAUCAACAUCCGCGUCUUCGCGCACGCGGAUCCACUCCACCGGCUCCGCCACUGAAUCCUCUCAUCCCGCAAGAGGUUCCUGAUUGGAGUGCCAGGGAAAUCAGCAGUAUAGAGUUAUUAAUCGAGUUUAUGGAAGUGGCUAAGCAUGAUUGAAAGGAUGCAAUGUGAGUAAAUUGCUGGUGGCAUUCCUGACUCCUUUUGAAAGGGUUGCUGCCACUUCACCCCACUGAGCAUUCCUCUGGUACAUGAUUCAAAGGACACAGGAGAUCUUGGACAGAUUGCUGGCAGCAGCUCUGAGUCUCCUCAGCCAAAGCAGAAGUGUGUUAUUCCUCAUUGAGGCAGGUGAUACCGUAUCAUGGUUUGUGAGAUUCACUCCCGGAGACAGAAACCCACGCCCCCACUUUCCGGCCUGCAGAGAUUCUUGAUGAAGAUCUAAUGCUGUCUGCCCGUCAGGAUCCCUGCAGUGUCACGGAGAUGACAGGUCCCUAGCAGGGGAAGCAAGGUGCUGCCGAAGCAAAGACACGUUUCAGGGAAGGGAUUUCCCCCGGCUGCUCUCCUCGCACGCCGUGGCCGGCUGCAGGGCAAGCGCUGCCUGAGCUCCUGCCCCGGGGGCUCGCUGUGCUCAGCGGCAAUUGGGCAGGGAUUUCCCAAAGGGAGGCUACGGGCAGAGCUGUGGCUCGGUGUUUGUGUGGAGCGGGCUGCUGUGACUCUCGUUACCUGUGGGUUUUCCAACACCCCAGCAAGAGCUGGCUCUGCUCCGGGCUGGGUGCUGCGGGAGGGAGCCGGGAGAUGCGGCAGCUCCGCUUCCCAGCACGGCUGGCUCCUGGGGCUCCACAUCCACCGGAGCAGCAGCCGGGAGAGCCCAGGUGAACACGGCAGGCUCUGGGAAAGGCUGGGCUGAUAUCCACACCUCAGCUCAGUGAGAAACUGACCCGGGUUAAUUAAUCUCAGGUGUAAAUGCUUAGAGCUGUGGCUGCACUGGGCCUUCUUGCCAGCAUCUGGAACUUGCCUAUAGACAUCUUUCAAAUUAAACAAUAGGCAUUUGCAUUUGUAAGAAAACAGUUGUUAAAUUUGCACAGAUAAUCACUUUGUUCCAUCCCAAGGAUUUCCAAUCAAUAUUGCAUUCCAGAAGAGAAAUAAUGUAAUAAGCCAUUAUAGAAUAAUGUUGUGUUCAUUUGUUGAUGCUCACAACUGACAGCAAAUCUUUAUUUUAAUUGAUUCUUAGAUUAGUUAAAUAAAAGCCAUUGUCAUUUUUUUAUUCUGUUCUUUUUAUAAAAAUAGUUUUAUUGUGCUCCUAAUACAAAUAAAAUUGGCAGGAUUGACCAGAAAUGGAUGUAACUUUUUUUCUCCACACUGCAGAUGCAGACCUGCUUUUAUUUUUGGAAGCGAUUUACAAAAAACAGUAUGAGGUUUUGUAAAAUGCUCUGAAAACAAGUUGUUUUGGAAGUUCCCCUCUGCAUGGUUCUGAUUAAAGAUUGCUGUCACAUAAGAGAGCCAAAGAGACAAGAUGUGGGUGCAUGAAUGUGAAUAGUCUGAGGAACAAAACAGGCCCAGGAAGGAUGCUGGUUUACCUUCAGUCACUCAAAAACAACCAACCAUGAAUUUGGUUUGUAAGGCUGAGGUAGUCUGAACUAAACCAAGUCUUUUUCAAUGCACCUGUUUUGGCAGGUGCAGUUUUUCUUGUUUUUUGUUUUUCCAAGUGUAUUUUCUUAAUUUGGGACAUUCUGGACAUGGUCUUUUUCCAUAGGCAGUUUUUGGCAUUGCAGAAAGAGGAUGCAAGGUGCUCUUGUUGGCAUCUAACAGUUGGUUCUUCACCACUCCCCAGUGUCCCUGAGUGACCUGAGUGGAGAACUGAGGCAGAAGUUGUUGUCUCUCCCUUUCUGAAUGAACAUUACAAGAAGUGAACACUUGCUUAAAGCCCAGGCCUACUUCAUCCUUCAGUCAGGAAAUUUAGUCAUGGCAGUGCUGAGUGAAAUGAUGUCUUUGGAACUGCCAGAAGAGCACAGAAUUUGCAUCUCUAGGCUAUCUUGUGGCUCACAGCUAUACAAAAGUUCUGACAUGGUGAGAGCACAAGCUUAAAUCAGCCCACACAUUGUGUACAGGUACAUUCUAGGUGCAUCCUGUGUAUUGUUGUAGUAAUUGAAUACACCUUAGUUUAUCUUCUAUUUGUGACUACAUGGUCAUUAUUACUCCUGAAAACUGGAAUAAUACCACUAUUUGAUCCCCCAAGACUGUUACCAUGCCAGAAAAUUCCUUGCAAAUACACAUUUUAACAAAUCUCAUUCUUAGUCAAUGGCAAAAUGGCAGCUACAGUUUUAUCCAAAAUUAAAGUGCUUAAUUCUUCCCUCCUUUUUGGAAGACCUUAUGCAUACUUGGAGGCUGUCAGUUUCCUGGGCAAUGUGUAAAUGUUCCAUACUGAUGAGAAAAGUUCAUGCUUGUUUUAUGUCACUUUUUUCCCCUACGUGUUGUUUAAUAUUAAUGAUGUAAGUUGCUGUGUCAAAAUAUUAAAUAAUUGUAACCUGUACAGGAAAGGAGUUUUAUUUUAACCUUUGAAAACUGUAUUUACAUGUUUUAGUAUAUAUGAAUAAUGCAUAAAGUUAGGCACUAAGGUUAUUUUCAAAGUCAGACAUUUCAGGAUCAAGCUGUAGAAAACAAUAAAAGAGAGGAGUGGUUUCUUUCCUCUUGCUCUCCCUCUUUCUUUAAUUCCCCAGGAUUCAGGCAUUAGCAUUGAAGUCAAAUGCCAUUAGGAUUUCUCACUAAACUUCAAAGCUUAAUUUAGUCUCUGCUGGAAUAAAGAGAGGCAUAUAAACAGGCACAGUGGAAUCCAUUUAAAUGAGUUACUGUGAAAAAAAGGAUGUUUCUAAGAAACAAAUGAUCUGUACAUUCUUUUAACAGAAAUCCUCCACUAGAGCAGUGGCUCAGGUGCAGCUGUGCCCCAUCCCCCGGGGAGGUGGGUGCUGUCCCAGCUCUGCAGGGUGGGGUCCUGGCCCUGUGCACCCCAAGGCAGUGCAGACGCUCCAGGGGACUCCAGACAGGGACAAACCUCCUGAUCCCUGUCUGGGGGAUGUGGGACCAACUGCCCAUGCAAUCACACAUGCAUGUGUUUUCCAGAACAUCAUUGUAAUAGGGUAAGUCAGCAUGGAAGAUUUGCUUUCUUUUCCAACAUAUUUGAUGUUUCAUGAAGGAUGCAGUUGUACUGCAGACCACUCCUUUAUAACCUCUCUCGUCAAAGAAAUGUUCUUGUCAUUAGCAAGGUGAUGCCUCUAAAUCACUUCCCUCUCUGUGUUUUUCAUUCAUUGUGACUUGAAUUUUCUCCUAUGAAGUGAGCUGUAUAAUUUUGGUAGGUUGGUAGUAAGUACCUUAUUUCAGAAGCAUUAUAGGUUAAUGCAGCUUCUGACAUAGCUUGAAAUCCAAAGGCUAUGACUGUCUGUUUUGCCGGAGGCAGAAGUGCUCAUAAUUCACUCACUGUGUGUCUGUAGCCAGCUCCAGAUAAUGCAGUCUGCUUCCAACACACCCCACUGGUGCAGAUUGGAGCUGGAAAGGUCUCUCCAGUGUGGUUCAUUGUAAGAGACGCUUCGGGGUGGACGGUCUGAGACACGGCAGAGACCUCCAUAGUCGAGUUAGGUGUUAGUAGUUUAUUUCAGGGUGUGGGAGAGAGAGAGAGCCUGCUAUGAGCCAGCAGAUAGAGCUCAAAGCAGGCUUGGAGAGA